CCUACGGGAGGCAGCAGUGAGGAAUAUUGGUCAAUGGACGAGAGUCUGAACCAGCCAAGUAGCGUGAAGGAUGACUGCCCUAGGGGUUGUAAACUUCUUUUAUAUGGGAAUAAAACAGGGUAUGCAUACCCUCUUGGAUGUACCAUAUGAAUAAGGAUCGGCUAACUCCGUGCCAGCAGCCGCGGUAAUACGGAGGAUCCGAGCGUUAUCCGGAUUUAUUGGGUUUAAAGGGAGCGUAGGUGGAUUGUUAAGUCAGUUGGGAAAGUUUGCGGCUCAACCGUAAAAUUGCAGUUGAAACUGGCAGUCUUGAGUACAGUAGAGGUGGGCGGAAAUCGUGGUGUAGCGGGUGAAUGCUUAGAUAUCACGAAGAACUCCGAGUGCGAAGGCAGCUCACUGGACUGCAACUGGCACUGAUGCUCGAAAGUGUUGGUAUCAAACAGGGUUUGAUUCCCGUGUAGUC
This 460-nucleotide ribosomal RNA is filed under the name uncultured bacterium. RNAcentral's name for it is "partial 16S ribosomal RNA". It matches the Rfam family "Bacterial small subunit ribosomal RNA", at positions 338 to 795 of the family's 1533-position model. The record is from RNAcentral.